UACGUAGGAUGCAAGCGUUGUCCGGAAUUACUGGGCGUAAAGCGCGUGUAGGCGGCUAAGUAAAUCGGGCGUGAAAAUCCCCACGGCUCAACCGUGGAAGUGCACUCGAAACUGCAUAGCUAGAGUCCUGGAGAGGAAGGUGGAAUGCUUGGUGUAGAGGUGAAAUUCGUAGAUAUCAAGCGGAACACCGGUGGCGAAGGCGGCCUUCUGGACAGUGACUGACGCUGAGACGCGAAAGCGUGGGGAGCAAACAGG
Molecule: ribosomal RNA, 255 nt
Filed under: uncultured bacterium
Lineage: Bacteria
Description: partial 16S ribosomal RNA
Rfam family: Bacterial small subunit ribosomal RNA
Source: RNAcentral